UCCCUCUUAGCUCAGUUGGUAGAGCGCGUCACUAGUAUUCAAUUCGGGUCAUGAAAGUUGAUGACAAGGUCAGUCGUUCAAGUCGGCUAGAGGGAA
Non-coding RNA from Desarmillaria tabescens, 96 nucleotides. The record is from the annotation of a RefSeq genome assembly. NCBI's taxonomy places the organism in Eukaryota, Fungi, Basidiomycota, Agaricomycetes, Agaricales, Physalacriaceae.